This 301-nucleotide ribosomal RNA is filed under the name uncultured bacterium. Its description in RNAcentral is "partial 16S ribosomal RNA". It matches the Rfam family "Bacterial small subunit ribosomal RNA", at positions 509 to 807 of the family's 1533-position model. The record is from RNAcentral.
CAGUCGCCGCGGGAAUACGUAGGUGGCAAGCGUUGUCCGGAUUUAUUGGGCGUAAAGCGAGCGCAGGCGGUUUCUUAAGUCUGAUGUGAAAGCCCCCGGCUCAACCGGGGAGGGUCAUUGGAAACUGGGAGACUUGAGUGCAGAAGAGGAGAGUGGAAUUCCAUGUGUAGCGGUGAAAUGCGUAGAUAUAUGGAGGAACACCAGUGGCGAAGGCGGCUCUCUGGUCUGUAACUGACGCUGAGGCUCGAAAGCGUGGGGAGCAAACAGGAUUAGAUACCCCAGUAGUCCCUGUCUCUUAUAC